ACGAACGCUGGCGGCGUGCUUAACACAUGCAAGUCGAACGGUGAACCUCUUCGGAGGGGAUCAGUGGCGAACGGGCGAGUACCACGUGGGCAACCUGCCCCCGGCUCUGGGAUAACUCCAAGAAAUUGGGGCUAAUACCGGAUGUUCACCGCUUCCCGCAUGGGUGGUGGUGGAAAGGGUUUCCGGCUGGGGAUGGGCCCGCGGCCUAUCAGCUUGUUGGUGGGGUAGUGGCCUACCAAGGCGACGACGGGUAGCCGGCCUGAGAGGGUGACCGGCCACACUGGGACUGAGACACGGCCCAGACUCCUACGGGAGGCAGCAGUGGGGAAUAUUGCGCAAUGGGCGGAAGCCUGACGCAGCGACGCCGCGUGGGGGAUGACGGCCUUCGGGUUGUAAACCUCUUUCAGCAGGGACGAAGCGCAAGUGACGGUACCUGCAGAAGAAGCACCGGCCAACUACGUG
RNAcentral lists this ribosomal RNA (462 nucleotides) under uncultured bacterium. RNAcentral's name for it is "partial 16S ribosomal RNA". It matches the Rfam family "Bacterial small subunit ribosomal RNA", at positions 29 to 507 of the family's 1533-position model. The record is from RNAcentral.